CAAGAGUGAGGGAGGUUCACUUUGUACAUUUCUCUCAUUUUUCUCCUUUUGGACAUCCUUUCCACCAAAGGAUGGUUCAGGUCCCUAUAUUCUGUGCCCACUCGGGUCAAAUUACUGCUCUGCUAGAUGCUUUGAGUGAAAUAAAUGUGGCUUAAAAACAGUCCUCCUCGAGGAACAUAUAAACUCAGGGAGAGAAAAGGUAUUUAAAUCCCUAUUAUAAAGUUGAAUGUGGUAAAUGCCACCAGUUAUGUGCAGAGUAUUAAGAAAGCUCAGAAGAAAGAUAUACCUGGGAGGAUCAUUAUAAUUUUUAUUGAGGAGGUGGCAUAAGAGCUGUGAAUAAUUUAUAGAUUUUGACUAGUGUUUUUAAAAAUUGCUCUAAUUUUCCAUAACAUUUUAUCUAAAGUAAAAAUGAGCAAAUUAUACAGUUUCACAUUUGGAUAAUUCAGCUUUCUGCAUGCUUAUAUUUAUCACCUUUGACUUAGUGGUUCCCAAACCUGGCAGUAUAUCAGAAUCAACUAGCCUCGUAAAAUUACAGAUUGCUAGGCCUCUCACGUCAAACUACCUCAUCAGCCUCUCAGGGCUGGGGAGUGGAGUAGGCAGUGAGAGACCCAGGAAACUGAAUUUGUUAAAAGCUCUCUCCAUAUCAUUCUGUUAUGGCUAGUCAAAGGGUAAUGUUUGGCAAUCUCUGUUAGACUGUAUGUUUCAUAAAUUCCACUUGAUCACAUUUCUUUCAGAAUGUAGAAAGGGACCAAAGAGAAUCUUUGCCCCACCUGCACAAAAAUCUUACAGCCUGUUACCUUGUAGCCCUAACUCCCCCAAGGAAGAGACCCUGGGGAUCAGUUCCCCAGAGACAGAGGCCAGGAUAAGCCUGCCAAAGGCCAGUUUAAAGAAGAAAGAGGAAAAAGCAACCAUGAAGAAUGUUCCAAGCAGGGAACAGGAGAAAAAAAGAAAAGCACAAAUCAACAAGCAAGCAGAGAAGAAAGAAAAGGAAAAAUCAAGUCUUACCAAUGCAGAAUUUGAGGAGAUUGUCCAGAUUGUUCUGCAGAAGUCCCUUCAGGAGUGCUUGGGGAUGGGAUCUGGCCUUGAUUUUGCAGAGACUUCUUGUGCCCAGCCCAUAGUAUCUACCCAGUCAGACAAGGAGCCAGGAAUUACUGCUUCUGCUACUGAUACUGAUAAUGCUAAUGGAGAGGAGGUACCACAUACUCAAGAGAUUUCAGUGUCUUGGGAGGGUGAAGCUGCCCCUGAGAUAAGGACAUCUAAGCUAGGCCAGCCAGAUCCUGCACCCUCUAAGAAGAAAUCCAAUAGACUCACCUUAAGCAAAAGAAAGAAGGAAGCUCAAGAUGAGAAGGUGGAGAAAACUCAAGGUGGACAUGAGCACAGAGAGGAAGACCAACUGAAGAAAACAGUUCAGCAUCAUUCUCAGAUCAGGGACCAGCAAAAAGGAGAGAUAAGUGGUUUUGGUCAAUGUCUGGUCUGGGUCCAGUGUUCCUUCCCAAACUGUGGGAAAUGGAGGCGGCUGUGUGGGAACAUUGACCCCUCAGUUCUCCCAGAUAAUUGGUACUGUGAUCAGAACACAGCAGAUGUGCAGUAUAAUCGCUGUGAUAUUCCUGAGGAGACCUGGACAGGGCUUGAGAGUGAUGUGGCCUAUGCCUCCUACAUCCCAGGAUCCAUCAUCUGGGCCAAGCAAUACGGUUACCCCUGGUGGCCAGGCAUGAUAGAAUCUGAUCCUGACUUAGGGGAAUAUUUUCUUUUUACUUCCCAUCUUGAUUCCCUGCCGUCUAAGUACCACGUGACAUUUUUUGGAGAAACAGUUUCUCGUGCGUGGAUCCCAGUCAACAUGCUAAAGAACUUCCAGGAGCUGUCCCUGGAGCUAUCAGUCAUGAAAAAGCGCAGAAAUGACUGCAGCCAGAAACUGGGGGUGGCCCUGAUGAUGGCUCAAGAGGCAGAACAGAUCAGCAUUCAGGAACGGGUUAACUUGUUUGGUUUCUGGAGCCGAUUCAACGGAUCUAACAGUAAUGGGGAAAGAAAAGACUUACAGCUCUCUGGUUUGAACAGCCCAGGAUCCUGCUUGGAGAAAAAGGAGAAGGAGGAAGAGUUGGAAAAGGAGGAAGGAGAGAAAACAGACCCAAUUUUGCCCAUUCGUAAGCGAGUCAAAAUACAGACCCAAAAAACCAAACCAAGAGCCAAGAAGGAUGGCUUCCUGGAGAAGGUAGACUCUGUGGAGAACUGUAAAGAGAAGAUCCAGGGGAUAAAAGAAAAAGAGAAUUGCGGGGGAAAGAUGUUGAAAAGAGCCAGAGGCCACCAGGAGAACUCACUAGAUGGAGACUGAGCAGAAGAUGUGGGGCAGGGCAGAGACUCAAUGUGCAGUGUCCAUCUGCCCUUGCCGAGCUGUCAUUUAGAAAGAAAUAAACACAUUUCCCUCACGGCUGGGCUUGGGGGUGAUGCAGGCACAGCAGAUGGCCGAGGGAGGACACUGCAGAGGAAGAUAAUGAAGAAAUCUCUGGGCAUGAAAUCCACAGCUCCUCCUGCACCCAGAAUGGGAAGGAAAGAAGGCCAAGGGAAUUCAGAUUCUGACCAGCCAGGCCCUAAGAAAAAAUUUAAAGCUCCCCAGAGCAAGGCCUUGGCAGCCAGCUUUUCAGAGGGAAAAGAAGUUAGAACAGUGCCAAAGAACCUGGGCCUAUCAGUGUGUAAGGGGGCCUGCCCCUCAUCUGCGAAAGAAGAGCCCAGACCCCAGGAACCCCUGACCCAGGAGGCUGGAAGUGUCCCCCUUGAGGACGAAGCCUCCGGUGACCUGGACCUGGAGCAACUCAUGGAAGAUGUUGGGAGAGAGCUGGGGGAGAGAGCUGGGGCAGAGCGGGGAGCUGCAGCACAGCAACAGUGAUGGCGAGGACUUCCCCGUGGCGCUGUUUGGGAAGUAGCUGGUGCUCCUGUGCUCCCUCCUUUUCUCCCUUCUCUGGGGUGCAGGAGGAAGAAGUUGCUAAGUGCUGGAGCUGUUCGUUGGCCAUGAGGUUCAAGUGUGUGUGGUGCAAUUUCUGUGUUAAUAAAGUAGGUUAUGGUCGACUGGCUUGGCUGGUCUCUAACUGCCCCCUGUUGGCUGCUCUCCCUC
RNA transcript from Nomascus leucogenys (northern white-cheeked gibbon), 3106 nucleotides. It is a transcript of the gene named zinc finger CW-type and PWWP domain containing 1, with no coding region annotated. NCBI's taxonomy places the organism in Eukaryota, Metazoa, Chordata, Mammalia, Primates, Hylobatidae. The transcript is spliced from 15 exons. The record is from RefSeq and is a predicted model, not a curated record.